GAAUUGAAUCCUAUUAGAUAUGGUUCGGUCCAUGAUGAGCUUCACUGAUCUUCCUUUAUUUCUUUGAAAAUAUGCUUUACUUACUUCUAUUUACCUAUUGAUUAGGAUUUUCUCUAAAUCUGUUCCUACCACAUUGUAUGUGAUGUGAUAUGGUAAGAAAUCAAAUCUUGAUCACGUUAAGUGACUACAGAUGAACAAAUUAGAGGCU
RNAcentral lists this long non-coding RNA (208 nucleotides) under Elaeis guineensis (African oil palm). RNAcentral's name for it is "long non-coding RNA (EGUI_LNC039160)". Lineage: Eukaryota; Viridiplantae; Streptophyta; Magnoliopsida; Arecales; Arecaceae. The record is from RNAcentral.